This 942-nucleotide long non-coding RNA is filed under the name Chinchilla lanigera (long-tailed chinchilla). RNAcentral describes it as "lncRNA (ENSCLAG00000029310.1)". The record is from RNAcentral. Lineage: Eukaryota; Metazoa; Chordata; Mammalia; Rodentia; Chinchillidae.
CAGUGGCAAGAAACCUCGGUUGGAAAAGACCUUCACCCUUCACUCUGGGACCUAAGCCCAAGCACCCUGGAGCUGGUACACUCCAUACCCUAACCAGCAGACAGGACAGUAGGUGAGCAGAGCCUUCCUCUCCCACUGCUAGUGUUCCCCAGUGGUGCGUCCUUCAGCAGCAGUGCCCAUGUAUGCACAUGGCACACAGGUGAUCAUGCCUUCCAUGCAGGCUCCCAGACCUGAUCUGCACCCAUUGUGCCUAAUGGCCACUAUGUUUUUAUGGUUUGCCUUCCCUAUCAGACUAUGAGCUGCAUGAGAACAAGAAAUCCGUCUUACUCAUUUUUGAAUUCUAGUUCCUCACAAGGUAAGUCCUAUGCUAUGGUUUGAAAUGUGCCUCCCAAAGUUCAUGCGUUGGAAAUUUAAUUCCCAAAUUCCUGCAUUGACCAUAUUAGGAGGUAAUUAGGGUUAGAUGAGGUUAUGAGAGUGGGGUCCACAUGACAGGACUAGUGGUUUUAUAAGAAGAGGAAGAGACCUGAGCUUGCAUGAUCCCUCACUCUUGCCAUGUGAUACCUUCAGCCACACUGUGACACAGAAGACCCUCACCAGCUGUGGCCCUUCAACCUUGGACUUCCCAACCACCAGGAUGUGAGAAAUGAAUUUGAUUUCUUCUUCAACUGCCCAGCCCAUUAUAUCACAGCAUCAUAAAACUGACAAGACUCCAUAAAUGUAUUGUCAAAUCAAAUGGAACUUGUGACCACUGUGUUAGCCAACAAUAUUCUAAAGUCUUCAUUGCAUUUCCAAACAUGGACAAAACAGAAAGAGCAGGGAUGUCCGAAUGUUCCAAGUCUGGACAGAGCCCACAGCCCUGCUGCAGUUCCCUACUCAUGGCAGGAGUCAGCAUGCACAGUGUUUGGAGGAGAAAAGACUGGUGGCCUUCAAUCCCAUGAGUAA